RNAcentral lists this ribosomal RNA (484 nucleotides) under uncultured bacterium. RNAcentral's name for it is "partial 16S ribosomal RNA". It matches the Rfam family "Bacterial small subunit ribosomal RNA", at positions 29 to 507 of the family's 1533-position model. The record is from RNAcentral.
AUUGAACGCUGGCGGCAUGCUUUACACAUGCAAGUCGAACGGCAGCGCGGGCUUCGGCCUGGCGGCGAGUGGCGAACGGGUGAGUAAUACAUCGGAACGUGCCCAGUAGUGGGGGAUAGCUCGUCGAAAGCCGGAUUAAUAUCGCAUACGACCUGAGGGGGAAAGCGGGGGAUCUUCGGACCUCGCGCUAUUGGAGCGGCCGAUGGCCGAUUAGCUAGUUGGUGGGGUAAAGGCCUACCAAGGCGACGUUCUGUAGCUGGUCGGAGAGGAGGACCAGCCACACGGGGAGUGAGACACGGCCCAGACGCCUACGGGAGGCAGCAGUGGGGAAUGUUGGACAGUGGGCGAGAGCCUGAUACAGCAAGGCCGCGUGUGUGAUGAAGGCCUUCGGGUUGUAAAGCACUUUUGAGGGGAGUGAAAAGGACUGUGCCAAGACGACGGUUGGAUGACGGUACCCGGAGAAUAAGCACCGGCUAACUACGUG